GUAGCUUCAGUUCCAGGUCAGGAAAGACAUGCUGAACAUCAGUUACAGUGGUUUCACAUGACUGGAAUACUUUCAUGGAGCUCCCAGCUUUGGAAGUGACAGAGAAGUAAAUAGAUGCCACAAACCAGCAUAAAAAGUACUCUGACUCCCAGCUUUUCUUGGAAAAUCCAAAGACCUGCCACCAGGCUUAUCUCCCUUUGUGUUUCUUGGAGAUUAACCUGAUGUUACUGUGAGAAGGCUCUGUAUGUUGCCAAGUUUUGAACUCUACUGAAUGGAACCAAAAAUAAAAGUCUA
This is a long non-coding RNA of Pan troglodytes (chimpanzee), 294 nucleotides long. RefSeq lists it as uncharacterized. The transcript is spliced from 3 exons. Lineage: Eukaryota; Metazoa; Chordata; Mammalia; Primates; Hominidae. The record is from RefSeq and is a predicted model, not a curated record.